GAUGAACGCUAGCGGCAGGCUUAACACAUGCAAGUCGAGGGGUAUAGUUCUUCGGAAUUAGAGACCGGCGCACGGGUGCGUAACGCGUAUGCAAUCUAUCUUUCACAGAGGGAUAGCCCAGAGAAAUUUGGAUUAAUACCUCAUAGUAUAGCAGUUUCGCAUGAAACCACUAUUAAAGUCACAACGGUGAAAGAUGAGCAUGCGUCCCAUUAGCUAGUUGGUAAGGUAACGGCUUACCAAGGCAACGAUGGGUAGGGGUCCUGAGAGGGAGAUCCCCCACACUGGUACUGAGACACGGACCAGACUCCUACGGGAGGCAGCAGUGAGGAAUAUUGGACAAUGGGCGGCAAGCCUGAUCCAGCCAUG
Molecule: ribosomal RNA, 366 nt
Filed under: uncultured bacterium
Lineage: Bacteria
Description: bacterial SSU rRNA
Rfam family: Bacterial small subunit ribosomal RNA
Source: RNAcentral